RNAcentral lists this ribosomal RNA (484 nucleotides) under uncultured bacterium. Its description in RNAcentral is "partial 16S ribosomal RNA". It matches the Rfam family "Bacterial small subunit ribosomal RNA", at positions 29 to 507 of the family's 1533-position model. The record is from RNAcentral.
AUUGAACGCUGGCGGCAGGCCUAACACAUGCAAGUCGAGCGGAUAAGGGGAGCUUGCUCCUGGAUUCAGCGGCGGACGGGUGAGUAAUGCCUAGGAAUCUGCCUGGUAGUGGGGGAUAACGUCCGGAAACGGGCGCUAAUACCGCAUACUUCCUGAGGGGGAAAGUGGGGGAUCUUCGGACCUCACGCUAUCAGAUGAGCCUAGGUCGGAUUAGCUAGUUGGUGGGGUAAAGGCCUACCAAGGCGACGAUCCGUAACUGGUCUGAGAGGAUGAUCAGUCACCUUGGAACUGAACCACGGUCAAGACUCCUACGGGAGGGAGCAGUGGGGAACAGUGGACAAUGGGGGAAAGUCUGACACAGCCAGGCGGAGUGUGUGAAGAAGGUCUUGGGAUUGUAAAGAAGGUUAUGUGGGGAGAAAGGGCAGUAAGCUGAGACGUUGCUGUUGUGACGGUAACAAGAGAAGAAGCACCGGCUAACUACGUG